GUGCCAGCAGCCGCGGUAAUACGUAGGGGGCAAGCGUUGUCCGGAUUUACUGGGCGUAAAGCGCGUGUAGGCGGCGCGUCAAGUCGGGUGUGAAAGCCCGGGGCUCAACCCCGGGAUGCCGCUCGAAACUGGCGCGCUUGAGGGCGGAAGAGGGGAGUGGAAUUCCUGGUGUAGCGGUGAAAUGCGUAGAGAUCAGGAGGAACACCCGUGGCGAAGGCGGCUCCCUGGUCCGUCCCUGACGCUGAGACGCGAAAGCGCGGGGAGCGAACGGGAUUAGAAACCCUAGUAGUCC
RNAcentral lists this ribosomal RNA (292 nucleotides) under uncultured bacterium. RNAcentral describes it as "partial 16S ribosomal RNA". It matches the Rfam family "Bacterial small subunit ribosomal RNA", at positions 505 to 796 of the family's 1533-position model. The record is from RNAcentral.